Molecule: ribosomal RNA, 53 nt
Filed under: Aspergillus oryzae
Lineage: Eukaryota; Fungi; Ascomycota; Eurotiomycetes; Eurotiales; Aspergillaceae
Also listed under: 10 other names
Description: partial 28S ribosomal RNA
Source: RNAcentral
CUCGGAUCAGGUAGGGAUACCCGCUGAACUUAAGCAUAUCAAUAAGCGGAGGA